UCCAGUGGAUAGCCUUCAGACAAGCUUCUACAUCAGACAAAUUCCAGACGGAUUUCUCUAGCAAUCGGACUCCAGCCAGAUUUCUCCAACAGAAAGUUUCCGUCUGGGCUUCUACAGUAGAUAACUUCCAUCUGCAGCAUCAAUGCCUAAGGCACCCAACAACAGUUAACCCGUCAGCAACCUCGGAAACAUCCGAGCUUCUCUUAGAUUGCUGAGACAGAGAGCUAUUCUGCUCCACCAGAC
Molecule: long non-coding RNA, 243 nt
Filed under: Elaeis guineensis (African oil palm)
Lineage: Eukaryota; Viridiplantae; Streptophyta; Magnoliopsida; Arecales; Arecaceae
Description: long non-coding RNA (EGUI_LNC059250)
Source: RNAcentral